GCGGAGGUGAGCUCAGCUGGUGCUGGGGGUUGGCUUCAAACCAAUCGGACCCUUGCGGGUCAGACGUUCGAUCCGUCCCUCUCCGC
RNAcentral lists this transfer RNA (86 nucleotides) under Coccomyxa subellipsoidea C-169. RNAcentral describes it as "Selenocysteine transfer RNA". It matches the Rfam family "Selenocysteine transfer RNA". The record is from Rfam by way of RNAcentral. Lineage: Eukaryota; Viridiplantae; Chlorophyta; Trebouxiophyceae; Coccomyxaceae.